UAACCUGCCCAAGAGAUCGGGAUAACACCUGGAAACAGAUGCUAAUACCGGAUAACAACAGAUGAUGCCUAUCAACUGUUUAAAAGAUGGUUCUGCUAUCACUCUUGGAUGGACCUGCGGUGCAUUAGCUAGUUGGUAGGGUAACGGCCUACCAAGGCGAUGAUGCAUAGCCGAGUUGAGAGACUGAUCGGUCACAUUGGGACUGAGACACGGCCCAAACUCCUACGGGAGGCAGCAGCG
RNAcentral lists this ribosomal RNA (240 nucleotides) under uncultured Lactobacillus sp. Its description in RNAcentral is "partial 16S ribosomal RNA". It matches the Rfam family "Bacterial small subunit ribosomal RNA", at positions 122 to 356 of the family's 1533-position model. Lineage: Bacteria; Bacillati; Bacillota; Bacilli; Lactobacillales; Lactobacillaceae. The record is from RNAcentral.